RNAcentral lists this ribosomal RNA (301 nucleotides) under uncultured bacterium. RNAcentral describes it as "partial 16S ribosomal RNA". It matches the Rfam family "Bacterial small subunit ribosomal RNA", at positions 509 to 809 of the family's 1533-position model. The record is from RNAcentral.
CAGUAGCCGCGGGAAAACGGAGGGAGCGAGCGUUGUUCGGAAUUACUGGGCGUAAAGGGUGCGCAGGCGGCUUUGUAAGUUGGGAGUGAAAUCCCUGGGCUUAACCCAGGAAUUGCUUUCAAAACUACAAGGCUAGAGUCUCGGAGAGGUUAGCGGAAUUCCCAGUGUAGAGGUGAAAUUCGUAGAUAUUGGGAGGAACACCAGUGGCGUAAGCGGCUAACUAGACGAGUACUGACGCUCAGGCACGAAAGCGUGGGGAUCAAACAGGAUUAGAUACCCCCGUAGUCCCUGUCUCUUAUAA